This 372-nucleotide ribosomal RNA is filed under the name uncultured bacterium. Its description in RNAcentral is "bacterial SSU rRNA". It matches the Rfam family "Bacterial small subunit ribosomal RNA", at positions 28 to 400 of the family's 1533-position model. The record is from RNAcentral.
GACGAACGCUGGCGGCGUGCUUAACACAUGCAAGUCGAACGGUGAACCGGGCUUCGGCCCGGGGGAUCAGUGGCGAACGGGUGCGUAACACGUGGGCAACCUGCCUCAGACACUGGGAUAACCCCGGGAAACCGGGGCUAAUACCGGAUACUCCGACCGGACUGCAUGAUCCGGCCGGGAAAGCUCCGACGGUCUGAGAUGGGCCCGCGGCCUAUCAGCUUGUUGGUGGGGUAACGCCCACCAAGGCGACGACGGGAGCUGGUCUGAGAGGACGACCAGCCACACUGGAACUGAGACACGGUCCAGACUCCUACGGGAGGCAGCAGUGGGGAAUCUUGCGCAAUGGGCGAAAGCCUGACGCAGCGACGCCGC